UAGGCAUGCAGUCGUGCGCGAAGCCUUCGGGCGAGUAAAGCGGCGAAAGGGUGAGUAACACGUAACCAACGUACCCCACGGACUGGGAUAACCACUGGAAACGGUGGGUAAUACCGGAUGGACCACUGGGAUGCAUAUCCUGGCUGGUAAACGGCGGCGCAAGCGGUUGCCGAGGGAGCGGGUUGCGGCCUAUCAGCUAGUUGGCGAGGUAACGGCUCACCAAGGCGAUGACGGGUAACAGGUCUGAGAGGAUGAUCUGUCACACUGGGACUGAGACACUGCCCAGACUCCUACGGGAGGCUGCAGUCGAGAAUCUUCCACAAUGGGCGCAAGCCUGAUGGAGCGACACCGCGUGCAGGAUGAAGGCCUUCGGGUUGUAAACUGCUGUCACGCUAUAGGAACCCACUUGGGUGAACAGUCCAAGUGCUGACUAAAGCGAAAGGAAGCGCCGGCUAACUCUGUGCCAGCAGCCGCGGUAAUACAGAGGGCGCAAGCGUUAUUCGGAUUCACUGGGCAUAAAGAGCACGUAGGCGGCUACGUAAGUCGGAUGUGAAAUCCCGCGGCUCAACCGCGGAAUGGCAUCCGAUACUGCGUGGCUCGAGGUCGAAAGGGGUAAGCGGAACUCCAGGUGGAACGGUGAAAUGUGUAGAUAUCUGGAGGAACACCGGGUGGCGAAGGCGGCUUACUGGUUCGAAUCUGGCGCUGAGGUGCGAAAGCUAGGGGAGCGAACGGGAUUAGAUACCCCGGUAGUCCUAGCCGUAAACGAUGGGCACUAGCAAUGGAUCAUCCCUAUG
RNAcentral lists this ribosomal RNA (794 nucleotides) under uncultured bacterium. RNAcentral's name for it is "bacterial SSU rRNA". It matches the Rfam family "Bacterial small subunit ribosomal RNA", at positions 50 to 838 of the family's 1533-position model. The record is from RNAcentral.